AAGUCGUAACAAGGUUUCCGUAGGUGAACCUGCGGAAGGAUCAUUAUUGAAAAGGGAACCCUUCGGGGUUCAACCUUCAACCCCAUGUUUUAACUACCUGUUUCUUUGGCGGGUUCGCCCGUCAGAAGUUUUCUCAAACCGUUUUAAAUGUGUCAUCUGAAUCCCAUAAUAAAUAAAUUAAAACUUUCAACAACGGAUCUCUUGGUUCUGGCAUCGAUGAAGAACGCAGCGAAAUGCGAUAAGUAAUGUGAAUUGCAGAAUUCAGUGAAUCAUCGAAUCUUUGAACGCAUAUUGCGCCCUUUGGUAUUCCGAAGGGCAUACCUGUUCGAGCGUCAUUACACCCCUCAAAUCUUAUAUUUGGUGUUGGGCCUUGCCUUUGGGCAUGCCUAAAAAUCAGUGAUGGACGUUUAACCACAAACGCACUCCUGUGUUAUGCUGGUGAAGACGUUUGUCUCCAGGUUAAAGACCCCUCUUUAACAAUCUUUGUUGACCUCGGAUCAGGUAGGAAUACCCGCUGAACUUAAGCAUAUCAAUAAGCGGAGGAAAAGAAACCAACAGGGAUUGCCUCAGUAACGGCGAGUGAAGCGGCAACAGCUCAAAUUUGAAAUCUGACCUUUUGGGUCCGAGUUGUAAUUUGUAGAGGAUGUUUCGGGUAAGGUCUAGGUCUAAGUUCCUUGGAACAGGACGUCAUAGAGGGUGAGAAUCCCGUACGUGGCCGAGGACCGCACCCAUGUGAAACUCCUUCGACGAGUCGAGUUGUUUGGGAAUGCAGCUCAAAAUGGGUGGUAAAUUUCAUCUAAAGCUAAAUAUUGGCCAGAGACCGAUAGCGCACAAGUAGAGUGAUCGAAAGAUGAAAAGUACUUUGAAAAGAGAGUUAAACAGUAUGUGAAAUUGUUGAAAGGGAAGCGCUUGCAACCAGACUUGUCUGUAGGGUUCAGCCGUCGUUUUCGUCGGUGUAUUUCUCUGCUAUCAGGCCAGCAUCAGUUUGGGUGGAAGGUGAAAGGCCUUGGGAAUGUACCACCCUCUCGGGGGUGUCUUAUAGCCCUCGGUGUAAUGCUUCCUACCCGGACUGAGGAACGCGCUUCGGCUCGGAUGCUGGCGUAAUGGUUGUAAGCGACC
This 1119-nucleotide ribosomal RNA is filed under the name uncultured fungus. RNAcentral describes it as "eukaryotic LSU rRNA". The stretch from base 488 to 1119 matches the Rfam family "Eukaryotic large subunit ribosomal RNA", at positions 1 to 649 of the family's 3401-position model. Lineage: Eukaryota; Fungi. The record is from RNAcentral.